UAGGGAAUCUUCCGCAAUGGACGCAAGUCUGACGGAGCAACGCCGCGUGAGUGAAGAAGGAUUUCGGUUCGUAAAACUCUGUUGUUAGAGAAGAACAGCGCAUAGAGUAACUGUUAUGCGUGUGACGGUAUCUAACCAGAAAGCCACGGCUAACUACGUGCCAGCAGCCGCGGUAAUACGUAGGUGGCAAGCGUUGUCCGGAUUUAUUGGGCGUAAAGCGAGCGCAGGCGGUUAGAUAAGUCUGAAGUUAAAGGCAGUGGCUCAACCAUUGUAGGCUUUGUAAACUGUUUAACUUGAGUGCAGAGGGAGAGAGUUGAAUUCCAUGUGUAGCGGUGAAAUGCGUAGAUAUAUGGGGGAACACCGGUGGCGAAAGCGGCUCUCUGGUCUGUAUCUGACGCUGAGGCUCGAAAGCGUGGGGAGCGAACAGG
RNAcentral lists this ribosomal RNA (428 nucleotides) under Bacteroidota bacterium. RNAcentral's name for it is "Bacteroidetes bacterium partial 16S ribosomal RNA". It matches the Rfam family "Bacterial small subunit ribosomal RNA", at positions 355 to 776 of the family's 1533-position model. The record is from RNAcentral. Lineage: Bacteria; Pseudomonadati; Bacteroidota.